This 1001-nucleotide ribosomal RNA is filed under the name uncultured bacterium. RNAcentral describes it as "bacterial SSU rRNA". It matches the Rfam family "Bacterial small subunit ribosomal RNA", at positions 505 to 1503 of the family's 1533-position model. The record is from RNAcentral.
GUGCCAGCAGCCGCGGUAAUACGUAGGGGCCAAGCGUUGUUGGGAAUUACUGGGCGUAAAGCGCGCGUAGGCGGCCACUGCAAGUCACUUGUGAAAUCUCCGGGCUUAACUCGGUAGGGUCAAGUGAUACUGCAGAGCUAGAGUGCGGAAGAGGCAGCUGGAAUUCUCGGUGUAGCGGUGAAAUGCGUAGAUAUCGAGAGGAACACCGGUGGCGAAGGCGGGCUGCUGGGCCGACACUGACGCUGAGGCGCGAAAGCUAGGGGAGCAAACAGGAUUAGAUACCCUGGUAGUCCUAGCCCUAAACGAUGGGUGCUUGGUGUUCGGGGUCUUCUAGUCCCCGGGUGCCGCAGCUAACGCGUUAAGCAUCCCGCCUGGGGAGUACGGUCGCAAGACUGAAACUCAAAGGAAUUGACGGGGACCCGCACAAGCGGUGGAGCAUGUGGUUUAAUUCGACGCAACGCGAAGAACCUUACCUGGGCUAGAAUGCCCCUGACAGCCCCAGAGAUGGGGUCUUCCGGGUAACACCGGACAGGGUGCAAGGUGCUGCACGGCUGUCGUCAGCUCGUGUCAUGAGAUGUUGGGUUAAGUCCCGCAACGAGCGCAACCCUUGCCAACAGUUGCCAGCGGUUCGGCCGGGCACUCUGUUGGGACUGCCGUUGAUAAAACGGAGGAAGGUGGGGAUGACGUCAAGUCCUCAUGGCCCUUACGCCCAGGGCUACACACGUGCUACAAUGGCCGGCACAAAGCGCUGCGAACCCGCGAGGGGGAGCCAAUCGCAAAAAGCCGGUCCCAGUUCGGAUUGGGGUCUGCAACCCGACCCCAUGAAGCCGGAAUCGCUAGUAAUCGCGGAUCAGCCAUGCCGCGGUGAAUACGUUCCCGGGCCUUGUACACACCGCCCGUCACGCCAUGGGAGCGGGUUCUACCCGAAGUCGCCGGGAGCCUUAGGGCAGGCGCCGAGGGUAGGGCUCGUGACUGGGGCGAAGUCGUAACAAGGUAACCGU